Molecule: ribosomal RNA, 449 nt
Filed under: uncultured bacterium
Lineage: Bacteria
Description: partial 16S ribosomal RNA
Rfam family: Bacterial small subunit ribosomal RNA
Source: RNAcentral
AAUGAACGCUGGCGGCAGGCCUAACACAUGCAAGUCGAACGGAUCCUUCGGGAUUAGUGGCGGACGGGUGAGUAACGCGUGGGAAUAUACCCUUUGGUACGGAAUAGCCUCGGGAAACUGGGAGUAAUACCGUAUGUGGUCGAGAGACGAAAGAAUUAUCGCCAAAGGAUUGGCCUGCGUUGGAUUUGGUAGUUGGUGGGGUACUGGCCUACCAAGCCGACGAUCCAUAGCUGGUUUGAGAGGAUGAUCAGCCACACUGGGACUGAGACACGGCCCAGACUCCUACGGGAGGCAGCAGUGGGGAAUCUUAGACAAUGGGGGAAGCCCUGAUCUAGCCAUGCCGCGUGAUCGAUGAAGGCCUUAGGGUUGUAAAGACCUUUCAGGUGGGAAGAUAAUGACUGUACCACCAGAAGAAGCCCCGGCUAACUCCGUGCCAGCAGCCGCCGUAA